RNAcentral lists this ribosomal RNA (495 nucleotides) under uncultured bacterium. RNAcentral's name for it is "partial 16S ribosomal RNA". It matches the Rfam family "Bacterial small subunit ribosomal RNA", at positions 28 to 507 of the family's 1533-position model. The record is from RNAcentral.
GACGAACGCUGGCGGCGUGCCUAAUACAUGCAAGUAGAACGCUGAAGGAGGAGCUUGCUCUUCUGGAUGAGUUGCGAACGGGUGAGUAACGCGUAGGUAACCUGCCUGGUAGCGGGGGAUAACUAUUGGAAACGAUAGCUAAUACCGCAUAAUAGUAGAUGUUGCAUGAUAUUUACUUAAAAGGUGCAAUUGCACCACUACCAGAUGGACCUGCGUUGUAUUGGCUAGUUGGUGGGGUAACGGCUCACCAAGGCGACGAUACAUAGCCGACCUGAGAGGGUGAUCGGCCACACUGGGACUGAGACACGGCCCAGACUCCUACGGGAGGCAGCAGUAGGGAAUCUUCGGCAAUGGACGAAAGUCUGACCGAGCAACGCCGCGUGAGUGAAGAAGGGUUUCGGAUCGUAAAGCUCUGUUGUAAGAGAAGAACGAGUGUGAGAGUGGAAAGUUCACACUGUGACGGUAUCUUACCAGAAAGGGACGGCUAACUACGUG